CCUAAUACAUGCAAGUCGAACGCUUCUUUUUCCACCGGAGCUUGCUCCACCGGAAAAAGAGGAGUGGCGAACGGGUGAGUAACACGUGGGUAACCUGCCCAUCAGAAGGGGAUAACACUUGGAAACAGGUGCUAAUACCGUAUAACAAUCAAAACCGCAUGGUUUUGAUUUGAAAGGCGCUUUCGGGUGUCGCUGAUGGAUGGACCCGCGGUGCAUUAGCUAGUUGGUGAGGUAACGGCUCACCAAGGCCACGAUGCAUAGCCGACCUGAGAGGGUGAUCGGCCACAUUGGGACUGAGACA
Molecule: ribosomal RNA, 301 nt
Filed under: Enterococcus faecium
Lineage: Bacteria; Bacillati; Bacillota; Bacilli; Lactobacillales; Enterococcaceae
Description: bacterial SSU rRNA
Rfam family: Bacterial small subunit ribosomal RNA
Source: RNAcentral